GAUGAACGCUGGCGGCGUGCCUAAUACAUGCAAGUCGAGCGAACAGACGAGGAGCUUGCUCCUCUGACGUUAGCGGCGGACGGGUGAGUAACACGUGGAUAACCUACCUAUAAGACUGGGAUAACUUCGGGAAACCGGAGCUAAUACCGGAUAAUAUAUUGAACCGCAUGGUUCAAUAGUGAAAGACGGUUUUGCUGUCACUUAUAGAUGGAUCCGCGCCGCAUUAGCUAGUUGGUAAGGUAACGGCUUACCAAGGCAACGAUGCGUAGCCGACCUGAGAGGGGGAUCGGCCACACUGGAACUGAGACACGGUCCAGACUCCUACGGGAGGCAGCAGUAGGGAAUCUUCCGCAAUGGGCGAAAGCCUGACGGAGCAACGCCGCGUGAAUGAUGAAGGUCUUCGGAUCGUAAAACUCUGUUAUUAGGGAAGAACAAAUGUGUAAGUAACUAUGCACGUCUUGACGGUACCUAAUCAGAAAGCCACGGCUAACUACGUG
RNAcentral lists this ribosomal RNA (497 nucleotides) under uncultured bacterium. RNAcentral's name for it is "partial 16S ribosomal RNA". It matches the Rfam family "Bacterial small subunit ribosomal RNA", at positions 28 to 507 of the family's 1533-position model. The record is from RNAcentral.